UUGCACCUUUUGUCUGAUGGGUCCGCAGAUUUUUAUGGCGAGACCUCUAGUUACGGUGCAUAAAGAAAAAGUUGUUUUUACAGCAGCGGCCAGACAACCGUAGAGAUGAAUCCACAGACGUAUGGUUAUUUUUGUACUGUAUGUCUACUGAUUUCAUCUCAAAUUU
This is a small nucleolar RNA of Dendrobium catenatum, 166 nucleotides long. RefSeq annotates it as small nucleolar RNA snoR143. The record is from RefSeq and is a predicted model, not a curated record. NCBI's taxonomy places the organism in Eukaryota, Viridiplantae, Streptophyta, Magnoliopsida, Asparagales, Orchidaceae. The transcript has a single exon.